RNAcentral lists this ribosomal RNA (219 nucleotides) under uncultured Staphylococcus sp. RNAcentral describes it as "partial 16S ribosomal RNA". It matches the Rfam family "Bacterial small subunit ribosomal RNA", at positions 146 to 355 of the family's 1533-position model. The record is from RNAcentral. Lineage: Bacteria; Bacillati; Bacillota; Bacilli; Caryophanales; Staphylococcaceae.
CUCCGGGAAAACCCGGGGGCCGUAAUACCGGAUAANAUUUGAACGCAUGGUUCAAUAGUGAAAGACGGUUUCGGCUGUCACUUAUAGAUGGACCCGCGCCGUAUUAGCUAGUUGGUAAGGUAACGGCUUACCAAGGCGACGAUACGUAGCCGACCUGAGAGGGUGAUCGGCCACACUGGAACUGAGACACGGUCCAGACUCCUACGGGAGGCAGCAGCC